AGCCCCGUGGAGCACAGCAGCGUGUCCUUCGCAGGGCCAGGAGGACAGAGAGCAGCCAGCCCUGUGCCAUUAGCAAGCCCACGCCAUCUGUGCCCUGUUAGUCUUUCUUAACGAGACUAAAUAAAGGGUUGCUGGUCUCUAUAAUGAGGUUGGCUGGAGGCAAUAGCAGCUGGUGAUGGAGAAGGGGAGCAUCCAGGCUCUGCAGGGAGGUGUUGAGGCUGCUUCUGUGGUUUUCAUUGCCUGCUCCACCAGCUCCAGUGAAGGCACAUCUGAGUACACGGAUCUGGGUGAGAGCACGUGGCAAGUCCUUAUGGCCCAGCAUGAGAGCUCCAAGGGGAACAAAGAAAAUGGUCAAGCAAGCCACAAAAGUUCAUAAGUUUUACCGCUGCUGACUCAUGAAGGAGCUCAGGGAAGAGCAGGACCCUAUGGCCACAGCACCAUGUACCCCACUUUAGCCAAGAAGUACCUGGCUUAAAGCUGAAAGGCCAGAAAUACCUCAGCUGGGAGGGGAUGUGGCAGCCUCCUGGCAGGCCUGGCCAGCUCCUGUCCCCUCUUCCAGGAGGCCUUGCCACCAUCCUGCAGCCUGAGCACUUCCAUGGGCCUGCACCAGCCAUGGGCCAUUCUGCGUGCCUUGUUUUUUCAGCUGCCCUGACGUAGGUCAGGCUUUCAUCUCAGAUCAAAAAGGCGAAAUGACCACUGGGAGCCCUCACCUGCUGGUUUCAGAGAGCCUCUGAUGCACCUCCAGCUUCAUGAUCUCAGCAGCAGGCUGUCGUCUUGCUUCUGCAUGAAAUCAUCUCUGUGUGGAGGGACAGGGUUUGUGUGGGACAGGGCCGUGUCUAAGAUACCUUUGUAAGAUCAGAGGUGCCCAGCUAGGCAGAACACGUGCUGUGCUGUGUGAAAGUCAGGGUGGGAGCCUGCUGCAGCCAGGAGGCCAGGGUAGCCCAGAUAUGAAUUGCAAAGAGAAUGAAACUUUGAUUUUCCUGUCAGCUGGUGUGCUCUGCACUCCUGGCACCCUGCUGAUAAGCUUGUCUUAAUGGUGAUGGGCUACAAAGCUAUAUUGACCGUGUCUCCGGGCUGCCUGUCUCAAAGGGAAAGCUGUGCCUUCCCCAAGUUUUAUGACUCGAAGCUGUCAGGGGACGAGGGGGAAAGCCGUGAUGGAUUCAUUCUUCUGCCUUAUCCAGUGGCUACACUGCACCUUCUGCAAAUAUCAGCAUCUUGAAAGGCUUCAGAGAAAGAGCAAGCCCCAGAUAAAUCUCCAAGGUUUGCAAAGCUUUAUGGCAGGUGACAAUGGUACGUGAAAGGGCCUUUAUUUUACUGCCCCUGCUUGAUGCUGUUGCUCCUUCCUGCUCGCCUUUCUUCCAUCCUCUUCCCACUCUAACUUGUUUAUUACCAUUAAUAGUUUUUAAUAAAGAAACUUAAUUUUGGAUCAGAAUUCACUUGAGCUAGGUGCUGCAGAAACUCAGAGCAUUUCAUCUGUGCAUUUUCUCCUCCCUUCUCAUCCUACAUUGCCAUCUCCCUUCCCCAGAGCAGUUCUCGGGGCCCUGCGCCAGCCUGAGGUGCCUUUGGCUGUAUCCGAGCUGCUGGUCAUUGCCCAGCUGUGGGAGAUGUCCCAGCUUGGGGACAAGGCAGGGACACAACUUGGGACCUGGUCUGGGCAACAGGAGAGAGCUCCACAAGUCACAAACCAGGCCAGCUCAGCACUCAGGUUUAGAAAAUGGGCUUGAGUUCGUCAUGUUCCUUUCUGAGUCUUAAAAACUUGCAAGCAGUCACAGGACUGUGGGACAAAAGGCUUUAACAAAAAUAGUAAUAAAAGCUGUGAUAGCAGGAGCCUUUUCAGCCCUGCUGUGAACUGGGGCAGGAAUACCACACGUGGUGCUGGUGGGGAUGAGCACUCCUGGAUGAAGCAGGCUGUCCCUCUAGGCACUAAUCCAUCAGCCAGAAGUUUUCAGGGACAGAUCCAGGGUAGAAAUCCUAACUGAAAUUAUCUGGUUUGAAGCUCUUGAUUUGCACGUGUGCGAUGUACAGUGCUGUUUGGGGAGGGUUGCACGGGCUGGGUGGCUCCUGUACUGCAAAUUGCCUGCAAAUUUUGUUGCUUCAUUACUGGAGAAGGAUCAGAUGCAGGUUAAAUGGAUCAGGGCUGGGUGUCUGAUACCCACAGGAAAGUGAAAAGGACCCAGUUCUGCAAA
Anas platyrhynchos (mallard) is the source of this 2186-nucleotide long non-coding RNA. RefSeq lists it as uncharacterized. The record is from RefSeq and is a predicted model, not a curated record. NCBI's taxonomy places the organism in Eukaryota, Metazoa, Chordata, Aves, Anseriformes, Anatidae.